CCAGACUCCUACGGGAGGCAGCAGUGGGGAAUAUUGCACAAUGGGGGAAACCCUGAUGCAGCGACGCCGCGUGAGUGAAGAAGUAUUUCGGUAUGUAAAGCUCUAUCAGCAGGGAAGAAAAUGACGGUACCUGACUAAGAAGCCCCGGCUAACUACGUGCCAGCAGCCGCGGUAAUACGUAGGGGGCAAGCGUUAUCCGGAUUUACUGGGUGUAAAGGGAGCGUAGACGGCAUGGCAAGUCAGAUGUGAAAGCCCGGGGCUCAACCCCGGGACUGUAUUUGAAACUGUCAGGCUGGAGUGCAGGAGAGGUAAGUGGAAUUCCUAGUGUAGCGGUGAAAUGCGUAGAUAUUAGGAGGAACACCAGUGGCGAAGGCGGCUUGCUGGACGGUAACUGACGUUGAGGCUCGAAAGCGUGGGGAGCAAACAGGAUUAGAUACCCCAGUAAAC
This 447-nucleotide ribosomal RNA is filed under the name uncultured bacterium. Its description in RNAcentral is "bacterial SSU rRNA". It matches the Rfam family "Bacterial small subunit ribosomal RNA", at positions 331 to 795 of the family's 1533-position model. The record is from RNAcentral.